GAAAAUGCUUUCUCAUCCAUUCUAACAACUUCACGUGAACACACAUUCACAAUGGUGGAAGGGACCAUACAGUUUCCUCCUUCCCAAGCACUCAUAGGCAUAGAGAUAUACACACACAUUCACAAGGCACAUGGAGAACAUAAUUUGGAGGAAGAUAAUUGAGGGGAAUGAAGAUAUAGUCGGAGAAGAGAAAGCAAAGAAAUAUGAUCCUUCUUCUUCUUCCAAUAUCCAAAUAUAGAUCUGACCGCUUUCCACAUCAGAGAAAUCAUGUAAAUUUAAUUUCUUCUCCAAUUAAUCCACUACUUCUCUAUUAUGUAAAGACGACGAGAUUUUCUUACUUUGAUGUUCUUUUCAGCAAAAACAGAGUUGCCUUCUCUGCCUAAAAACCUCCAUUAACAUCACUAUUUCUUUGAUAAACAAUACUACAAACACCUUAUGUUCAUUAAAACCAACCUGAAAAAUAUCAUGAACAGAAUCACAAAUAGUCAUAGUUCACUUCUCAACUCCUCGUUUUCGUGCGAGGUUUGGUUCAAAGCUCGGUCAAGUGGGGUCAGGUUCGAGGUUGCCGACGAGGUUCACUGUUCAAGCUUCUGUCCCUGUUGUUAUUUUUCAAUUAAAUAUAAUUCACUCGAGUUCAUUAUAAUUGAGUUUCGUCAAUAGAAAAAGGGAAGCUUUUUGCUGUAGAAGGUCCAUCUCUCAAACCUUUAUUUUUAUUUCAUUUUAUUUGACUUGAUUUGGUGUUCUUUUUAGUUGGCAUGUUUUCAUAUGUUGUCUUGAUUUCAUUAUUUAGUUAAAUGCUUCAAUUCGUGAUAAUGAAUCGAUGAACUGAUAAUGAAAGUCCAACGUUUUAACCUUGCCUUAGAUAUUUAAAAACCUCGUAGCUUAUCUAGUAAAUAAAGUAGUAAAGAAAAUAACUUGGGCUAAAAUUGAUUUAGGCACUGGAUGGGCCUUAGAGAUAAAGUUUGGAAUGUAUUGGGACGGGAGAUGUGGGGCUUAAGUGAAAGAGAAAUUUGGAUUCAAAAUAUUUUCUUUCUCGCUUAUGUUUUAUUGCUUGAUCACUCGAAGCAUGAUUUAGGCUUAGUUAUGCAUUAUGCAUUAUUGGUUUAGAGGUGAGAGGUUGUCCCCUUAGUUAUUAUAAUUUUACCAGGAGAAUGCCCCGAAGUAUUUGUAAAUAUUUUUAUCAGAGGAAUACCACGAAUUACAUGUAAAUGAAGGCCGAAAACGAACGUUCUCAUGGAGGUGUAGUGUAGGAUAGUUUAGAUGUAUUUUCGUUAUUUUGCUUUCUCUUUUAAUACGUGGGGACAACCUUGAAACUUCUUUUAUUCGUAUGUUUCAUUUGUGUGUUUUGUUCAUGUGAUCUCGAUUUGAGUACUCUUUAAAGCCAACUUGAUCAUGUAUGUAACAGUAUAUAUUACCAGACUUGGGGAAUGCCUAAUAUCUUCUCCCUGGAUCAAAUGAAUUCCCUUACUUAGAAUCUUUGGUGCAAAUCGAUUUUGGAGUCAAAUAUAUUUUGAAGGGAAGAUAUUUUCUCGAGUUCGAGUUUUUUAGAGCAAAGAAAGGAAAAAAACAUAAGUUGCACCCUAAAUUUGUCCGAAAAAUUCUGAUGCACACUCAAACUUUACGAGCGUUCAUUGUUCCCUCAAAACACUUUUGGAGUAAAUUAUUGAGAAAAUACAUAAGAUGCAUCCCGUACUUGUCCCGAUAAAUGAGUUUCUAGUUUUACCUUUACGGGUAUUCCAAUACCACCCUAUACUUGUUCUGACUUAAUAUUUUACACCCUUUUAAGCCCUCUCCCAGGCGUAUUGUGCAUAACAACAAAUGAGCGCAUUUAAUGCUUUUAUGUAAUCAUAAAAUUUAAAUAAAAGGAAACAAUAAAUUAUCAGCUCUAAUUAAACCCCCUAACGGUAAUAUUUCCCUUUGCAUCCAAUUAAAUACCUGACCCACACCAUUUUUCUUCUUCUACCAUAUCUACCUCAAAAAUCCUAAUUUUGUUUUCUACCAAAUCUGCCAUAACUAUUGUUGAAGAUUGGAUUUUUGAAGGCAACGGUAGGUAAUUUUUUUAUUUGGGUAAUUCUUCAGUCUGUUUCUACUCAAAUUCUCCCCUUCUUUUUUCUUUUGUCUGAAACCUACGGGGACGACCUUCAAAUGCCUUCGAAAAGUGUCAUGACCCAAUUCCCCCUAUAGGUCAUGAUGGCAUCCAACGUCCCCGCUAGGCAAGCCAACAAUGAACUAGCCAUGUAUUUAUUCUUUUAACAAUUUCGAAAUAGUUGAUUUUUAUUUAUUAAGUAAGAGGUGAAAAAAAUAAUGCGUAAAUAAAUAUGAGAGCAAGUGCGGUGUAAUAAAUACUCAAAAAUCAUCAAAUAUCUACUAGCAUAUUUUCAAGACCUAGUAUCACAAGUGUAUGAGCAACUAAUAGAAUAUACAAAACACCUAUGCUACUAUCUGAAGUAAGAUAGACAGAAAGUAAAUACAAAAGAGAGACUGCAUGUGCUGCAGAACGGACUCAGAGAGCAGCUCACCACUAUGCCUCGGGGUAACGGGGAUGCACGCUGGAAUGACUACCAGAUGCACCUGUCUCAGAUCCUGCACAAUUAGUGCAGAAGUAUAGCGUGAGUACAUAAACAACAUGUACCUAGUAAGUAUCCAGUCUAACCUCGAAGAAGUAGUGACGAGGGGUCGACAUUGACACUUGCUAUGGGCCAAUAAUAAAAUGCAGAAACUCUAAACAGUUAUGAAAUAUGGAAAUGAUUCUUUAACCGAUAAUAAAUUCAAAAAUCUUCAUCUAACACAUACUAGUUCCAAAUCACUUCCGGUUGUUAAAUAAAUUAUAUCUCUCAAGCCAUAACAUAAUAUCAAGUGUAAUCGGGUUCCGAGAAUUAUCACGCACGAUUUAUGCCGAUGUCGUACGGCCCGAUCCAAAAUAUUGUGUGCACUGUCGAGAGUCGAACGACACGAAUCAUAGAUGUAUCUAUUAUACUGCCGAGGCGAACCGCCCACUUCCAUGAGAAUAAAAAAGUUUACCUCGCUCUCGGAAGUACUUGCGAUGCGAGAGGACAUGAGUUUCUCAGAGUUAUUAACUAUUCCUCAAUUCUUUCCCCAAAUAAGAAAUCUAACUUGGAAGUUUUCAAAUUUAAAAUCUCUAGUCUUAGCUCUAUUUAAGAUAAUUAACAUGCACAAUAAGCAUGACAGUACAAUUAAAGCAUGAUGUAAAUCUAAGACUACCCGGACGUCUCAUAGAAUAUAGAUAUGUACGGAUUCUCAUCAUCUAGUGCGUACGUAGCUCCCCACAUAAGUAAUUCACAAUAAAAAAUACACCUAAGAGGAUGAGUUCCCUCUUACAAGGUUAGACAAGAGACUUACCUCGUUCUCAAGCUGACUUAUGGUCCACAAAUACGCUCUAAAUUAUCAACUUGGUGUCAGACAACCCGAAACUAACCAAAUAUUAUUUAAACAAUCAAUAUAUACUCAAAAGUUCAUAAUUUAACUAUUGGGGGUAAUUACCUACCCCUAAAUGGAAGAUUCCUAAAAUUUACCCCCGGGCCCACGUGCCCAGAUUCCGAAAAUUUCCAAAGAUAAUUUUUACCCAUAAACUCACGAACUCAAAUAUAUCAUUUUCACCCAAUUCCAUAAUCAUUUUCGUGGUUAAAUCCCAUUUUUAUCAAACCUAGGUUUUUCAACUAAACCCAUAAUUUUUAUAAUUUUACAUGUCAACAUUUACCCAUAAUCUAUGUAUUUAACUUAUAUUGGAUAUAAAUUACUUACCUUCAAUAUCUAGGUGAAAACCCCUCUCCAAGAAGUUCCAAAAUCGCCCAAGAGAUGAAAGAAAUGAGUCAAAAAUGGCCUAAGUCCCGACUUAAAUGAACCUCACUGCCCCGCGGUGCUACUGUCGCACCUGUGGCUCCACUUCUACGGACAAAACCUCACAGGUGACCAAGCCUAGGUCUUCCUCCUUCGCUUCUGGGGACAACGGCUCGCUUCUGCAGCUUACGCGUCGCACCUGCGACCUUCCCCGCUUCUGCAAUCACUUGCCUCGCACUUGCGCCUUCGCAGGUGCGGUCCCUGCCUCGCUUCUACAAUCACUGGGCAGUCCAUGCCAGGCCACUUUUGCGGUCAAAAGCUCGCACCUGCGAGCUCGCCCCUGCGGCCAAAAUCUCACAGGUGCGGACGCACCAGAAAUGGUGCACCAGCAGUUCUAUUAAGUCCAAACUUGGUCCAUGCAUCGUCCGAAUGGCACCCGAGGCCCCGCCCAAACAUACCAACAAGUUCGUAAACAUAAUACAGACCAUCUCCACCUCUCGAAACAUGAGAAACAACAUCAAAACUAAGAAUCACACUCCAAACCAAAUCGAAUCAACUUAUGAACUUCAAGUGCUUCCAACUUGCUCCGAAUGCACUGAAGCAUACUUAAACUAAUCGGAAUGACACUAAAUUUUGUAUGCAAGUAUUAAAUCACCAUACAGAACUAUUCCCAGGAUCGGAAUCCCAAACAAAUCUCGAUAACACCAAAACCAACUUCAAACCAAAUUUAAAGAACUUGAAAAACCUUCAAUGUGCCAACUUUCAAUAUUAAACGCUGAAAUGCUCCAGGGUUAUCCAAAACAUGAUAUGAACAUACACCCAAGUCCAAAAUCAUCAUACAAACCUAUUGGGACCAUCAAAUCCCAGUUCUGAGAUCGUUUACUAUAAAUAUUGACCUGAGUCAAACUUAACCCUUUUAAGCCAAUAAUAAGGAACUAAGUAUUCCAAUUUCAACUCGAACCUUUCCAAAUCCCAAACUAACCAUCUCCGCAAGUCAUAAAAUAGUAAAAGUACAUACAGGGAGUCUUAUUUAGGGGAACAUGGAUCUAGAAAGUAAAACAACCGGCCGGGUCGUUAUAAAAAGGUUGGCUAGGCUUUGUUUGGAAGAGGACGAUCAUGUGUCUACUGAAGAAGUGUGAUGUAAUCAUGGUUAUUUUUUGAUAUUUUUAACCUCUUGGACCCCUAGGAAUCCUGGUAGAAGGUAUUCGGCUUGUCCUUACUAAGGGGUAAGUUAAUUUGAUUAGUAAGAUUAAUUGAGUUAAAAAUUGAAUAACUGAACACUGGAAUACAAUUUGUAUGGUAGUUUAUGAUAGGGUGCUCAAGCAUAUGAUAUUUGGCGUUGGAUGGAUGAUGAAAUUGACCCUAGAUCAAAGUUUGUUAUUCCUAAAUUGAAGGAAGAGAUGAGAAGGAUGAACAUGAGAUUGAUAAGAUACACAUUCAACUAGAUUACUUGGAGACUGAAGUUGAGAAGAUGAAAGAAAGGAAGAAGAAAUGGAAGAGCAAAGCUGCUCGAUCAAGGAAAAUGGAGAAUAUUUUUUGGUUUAUCAUUUAUGUUGUAUUAUUAUCAGUAUUAGUACUAGGUUUCAAGUAUUGUAUUUGAAGGAUGAUGGAAUGAAGUUGCCAUAGGCUAUUUGUAUUAUGCAUUUGCUGUAAUUGUUGAACAUAGUAGUGUAUGAUUAGUUGUAUUCAAUGUUGGUGAAUACCUUUUGUAAACAGUUUUUGUUUUGUGGAAUGAAGUUGGUGCUUCUUUUAUUCUAAA
This 5557-nucleotide long non-coding RNA is filed under the name Nicotiana tabacum (common tobacco). RNAcentral describes it as "long non-coding RNA (NTAB_LNC013635)". Lineage: Eukaryota; Viridiplantae; Streptophyta; Magnoliopsida; Solanales; Solanaceae. The record is from RNAcentral.